AUUUCUGCCCGGGGCUCUGAAAGUCAAAGUGAAGAAAUUCAAUGAAAUGGCAGUAAAUGACAGGGUGAUUGUGACUCUCUUAAGGGAGCCAACUGCCUUGUCAUCUAACUAGUGAUGCCCAUGAAUGGAU
This 130-nucleotide non-coding RNA is filed under the name Tupaia belangeri chinensis (Chinese tree shrew). RNAcentral's name for it is "Tupaia chinensis (Chinese tree shrew) Eukaryotic large subunit ribosomal RNA". It matches the Rfam family "Eukaryotic large subunit ribosomal RNA", at positions 2194 to 2324 of the family's 3401-position model. Lineage: Eukaryota; Metazoa; Chordata; Mammalia; Scandentia; Tupaiidae. The record is from Rfam by way of RNAcentral.